UGGGAACGUACCCUUUGGUUCGGAACAACUCCGGGAAACUGGAGCUAAUACCGGAUAAGCCCUUCGGGGGAAAGAUUUAUCGCCAAAGGAUCGGCUCGCGUCUGAUUAGCUAGUUGGUGAGGUAACGGCUCACCAAGGCGACGAUCAGUAGCUGGUCUGAGAGGAUGAUCAGCCACACUGGGACUGAGAUACGGCCCAGACUCCUACGGGAGGCAG
RNAcentral lists this ribosomal RNA (216 nucleotides) under uncultured bacterium. RNAcentral describes it as "partial 16S ribosomal RNA". It matches the Rfam family "Bacterial small subunit ribosomal RNA", at positions 118 to 351 of the family's 1533-position model. The record is from RNAcentral.